UACGUAGGGCGCAAGCGUUGUCCGGAAUUAUUGGGCGUAAAGAGCUCGUAGGCGGUUUGUCGCGUCGGCUGUGAAAACUCGGGGCUCAACCCCGAGCCUGCAGUCGAUACGGGCAAACUAGAGUGUGGUAGGGGAGACUGGAAUUCCUGGUGUAGCGGUGAAAUGCGCAGAUAUCAGGAGGAACACCGAUGGCGAAGGCAGGUCUCUGGGCCACUACUGACGCUGAGAAGCGAAAGCAUGGGGAGCGAACAGG
RNAcentral lists this ribosomal RNA (253 nucleotides) under uncultured bacterium. RNAcentral's name for it is "partial 16S ribosomal RNA". It matches the Rfam family "Bacterial small subunit ribosomal RNA", at positions 524 to 776 of the family's 1533-position model. The record is from RNAcentral.